UUGUGCUCUGUUCCGUUAGGUACUUGGGACAUUGGCUGUACAGUCUGUACAGUUCGCGAAUUUUGUUUUGAUAUGCUUUAGCUUGAAGUUACAGGGUUAUUCUGACCUCGCUCUCCUAAACAUUAGGAAUACAAGUGAGAAAUUGAUAUAUUGAAAUGAAUGGACAUUAGAGUUAAAAGGUUAUGCAUAUUGGGUCCUUGCUUAAAACAUGGGAUAUUACGUAUGUGUUACAGCCAUGUGAUUAGCAAUGGAAACGGCAUCUUCCAUGGAUCUAUUGGAGCGGUAUGCAAAUUAGAGUGGAUCCAGUGUGCCUGGCAUGCUGGCCUUGAUGUAGGCCAUGAUCAGCCUCUCAAAGCACUUCAUGAUGACCGAGAUUGGGCCUCUGUAGGGGUGAGAGAUGAGUCCCAGCAGGGAGGAUCCUGUGUGAUGGAGCCAUAAAAACACUACAGAAGCCAUUGGACACAGACCAAGACAUGGCUGCAUUCAGGUUGAGAGUUAACCAAAUCAAGCAAUCUGUAUGCUAUGAAUUACAGUAUAUAACAUAUACUCGUAAGCAGACGCUGUCAUCCAAAGCAAUUUACAGCCUCGCCUUGAACCAGGGACCCUCUGCACACAUCAACAACUGACACCCACGAAGGAUCGUUACCCAUCACUCCAUAAAAGCCGCGGCCCUUGCAGAGCAAGGGGAACCACUACUUCAAGGUCUCAGAGCGAGUGACGUCACCAAUCGAAACGCUAUUAGCGCGUACCACCGCUAACUAAGCUAGUCAUUUCACAUCGGUCACAUGUGCAUGCAUUUUCCAUAUGGGUGGCUCCAAGCGGCAAUCGAACCCUCUUACCUUUGGCGUGGCAAUCACCAUGCUCAACCGGCUAAGCCACACAGGGCCACAGUGAAAAGGACAGUUUGAAUAUCAAUACAUACCACAAAUGCCUAUCUUAUUUGGUUGUUAUUCCCAAAACACGGCAGCGGUCAGGCAGUGAGAUGACCAAACACUGCAAAAUGGCGUUCUUUAACAGAGCAUUAAAAAUCCAACUACAUACACAGUGACUGUGUUAUUUGGUUGUUAUUUACACAACAUGGUGGAGUGUGUUAAAAAUGUAUGAAGAUUCUCCCCCCCCCCCCCCCCCCCCCCCCUACUGGUUUAAUAGCAUUCAGGCUCGCCAGGUUUCUCGCUGGUUUCUGCCUCUUGUCAUAGAGAGCUCACCAAAGGGCCCCACUGUUUUUGUUGUUGUUGUGGUGAGGUGCUCCUAGUUGUGUUUUUGAAAGUGUAAAUGUGGCUAAUGAAAAUUAAACUUUAUCUCCUCCCUCUUGGGGUAAAAAACAUCUUCCUUUCCAGUUGUGUGUGUGUGUGUGUGCGUGCGUGCGCGUGCGUGUGUGUGUGUGUGUUUUUCUGUGUGUGUGCGUGUGUGUCCCACAAGAAUAGUAAACACAUGAUUAUUGACCAACUGGGGACAUUAGUCUCCACGAGGUCAAAUGCUAGUACUAAUGCUAAAUGCUAUUCUAACUUUCACCCUUUUAGGGGGGGGGUAGUCACACUUCCCUGCUAAGAAGUAGGAAUGUCAUUAAGUAUGUUAAUACAUGUUAAUACCUGUUAAUACAUGUUAAUACCUGUUAAUACCUGUUAAUACCUGUUAAUACCUGCACAGCUCGACUCUACUGAAUACAUGCAUGCUUUGAAGAGGUUUGAGCAAUGGGCUCAGGGAAAAGAGUUGGAAAUAACUUUCAGGCUAAAUAAACUAACACUAAAAUGUUGAUAUACAGUACACGCAUGGGAGGUGGGACUGGGAACCGGAGGUGUUCAUGGAUUUGGACAGUACAACCUCCUAGUUAUCAUAACCAUGUAUGUAAAGUCUGGGCGGCAGGUAGCCUAGUGUU
Oncorhynchus mykiss (rainbow trout) is the source of this 1876-nucleotide long non-coding RNA. RefSeq lists it as uncharacterized. The record is from RefSeq and is a predicted model, not a curated record. Lineage: Eukaryota; Metazoa; Chordata; Actinopteri; Salmoniformes; Salmonidae.